CUCGCCUGCAUGAAGUCGGAAUUGCUAGUAAUCGCGGAUCAGCAUGCCGCGGUGAAUACGUUCUCGGGCCUUGUACACACCGCCCGUCACACCAUGGGAGUCGGUAACACCCGAAGUCUGUAGCCUGACGCAAGAGGGCGCAGCCGAAGGUGGGAUUGAUGACUGGGGUGAAGUCGUAACAAGGUAGC
This 188-nucleotide ribosomal RNA is filed under the name uncultured bacterium. RNAcentral's name for it is "partial 16S ribosomal RNA". It matches the Rfam family "Bacterial small subunit ribosomal RNA", at positions 1311 to 1500 of the family's 1533-position model. The record is from RNAcentral.